AAAGGGUUUCUAACCAACUUUAAUCCGUUUUAGCUAGCUAGGCUAAGCAACUUGUCUAAAUGAAACGAAACAAUUCACUUAUUGUUUGUUAAUAAAUCACCGCAAAUCUCUUCGCUAGCAAACGCGACUCCGUCUCCAAAAACAGCAGAGUGUCUUCAGUAAUGUUUUACUUUCUACGACGUCUCCACUUUCCAAGUGUAUUAAACAGGCAGGUAUGAUGUUCUCUUGAAAUCAUUGAUCCAGGCUGAAUUUUAACCUGCUUCUCUCUCUCUCUUUCCUCUUUGCAGCCAAAGCAGGUGGUCCAAAAGCCAGCUCAGGAAGAAGGAGAAGAAGAAGAGGAGGAAGAGGAGGAGUCUGGAGAGGAGGAUUAAAGAACAACAUCAUUUGACCUCUUACUUCCUUGUAGCAGUUCUUCCUCCUGGGGAACCACUGCCUUCACCACUUACUAAGGACGCUGACCCAUGACCUCUGUCCACUCUCAUAUCGUACUGUUUUCAUUUCACACUUUUGUUUGGGUUUAUUUCUUUGGGGGUUUUUUGUUUGUUUGUUUUGAUUCUGAGAUGAACACACAGAGCAUGAGCCGCAAAAAAACCCCGAAACACUAAAUAUGACAACAAAGAUCUGCUGUACCUCUUUACAACAACAGUAAUGUUUUAUCUGCUGUAAGGACAGAGGUUCUGGGGUUGUACCGCUGCAGGUUCUACUCCCCUCCUCCCCUGUCAUUGUCCACUGAUUCUCCAGGCUGUCUUUCUUUGAGGGAGAGAUAGAAACGUCUGUUAUUGGCAUUCAGAAAUUGCGACCAUAUGGCUGCUGUUUCAAUACAACAGAGGUCUAGAACACACACACAGACCCUCCCUCCGCCGAGUCCCGUGUCGGACCACCAAACACAGGGAGACAAGUCAGGUUAUUUUAAUCUAUCAUGUUUUUAAUCUACCGUGGAAUUGCUUUUUUUUAUAUAUAUAUAACAAAUUGGCUUCUUUAACUUGCUAAAAUCACACCUUUUUAAUUGAUGAAUUCCUCAGUUGAGGUUGUUGGAUAUUAGCAGGUAUGUCGUUUUUUCAUCAUAUGCGUUUUACUGCCAGUUAGUCUCUUUAACCAAGAACCUUUUUCACCUGCUUUUGCUUUAGCAUUUUAUAUUGUGACAAUUAGCAUUUAUAUUGUGAUAAUUAGCAUUUUAUAUUGUGAUAAUUAGCAUUUUAUAUUGUGACAAUUAUCAUUUUAUAUUGUGAUAAUUAUCAUUUAUAUUGUGAUAAUUAUCAUUUUAUAUUGUGAUAAUUAUCAUUUUAUAUUGUGACAAUUAUCAUUUUAUAUUGUGAUAAUUAUCAUAUUAUAUUGUGAUAAUUAUCAUUUUAUAUUGUGGUAAUUAUCAUUUUACAUUGUGAUAAUUAUCAUUUUAUAUUGUGACAAUUAUCAUUUUAUAUUGGGAUAAUUAUCAUAUUAUAUUGUGAUAAUUAUCAUUUUAUAUUGUGGUAAUUAUCAUUUUACAUUGUGAUAAUUAUCAUUUUAUAUUGUGAUAAUUAUCCAUUUUAUAUUGUGAUAAUUAUCAUUUUAUAUUGUGAUAAUUAUAAUUUUAUAUUGUGGUAAUUAUCAUUUUAUAUUGUGAUAAUUAUCCAUUUUAUAUUGUGAUAAUUAUCAUUUUAUAUUGUGAUAAUUAUCAUUUUAUAUUGUGACAAUUAUCAUUUUAUAUUGUGACAAUUAUCAUUUUACAUUGUGAUAAUUAUCAUUUUACAUUGUGGUAAUUAUCAUUUUACAUUGUGAUAAUUAUCAUUUUAUAUUGUGAUAAUUAUCCAUUUUAUAUUGUGAUAAUUAUCAUUUUAUAUUGUGGUAAUUAUCAUUUAAUAUUGUGAUAAUUAUCCAUUUUAUAUUGUGAUAAUUAUCAUUUUAUAUUGUGAUAAUUAUCAUUUUAUAUUGUGGUAAUUAUCAUUUUAUAUUGUGAUAAUUAUCAUUUUAUAUUGUGAUAAUUAUCAUUUUAUAUUGUGGUAAUUAGCAUUUUACAUUGUGAUAAUUAUCAUUUUAUAUUGUGAUAAUUAUCAUUUAUAUUGUGAUAAUUAUCAUUUUACAUUGUGAUAAUUAUAACCACACAACAAAGAGAAGAACUCAGCUGUAAUGUUUAUUAUGGUGAAGUUCACAUGAUGGAACGAUCUUAAUGGAGGUAAUAUGAUAUUAUUGGUUUUACAGGGCUCUUAUAAAUAAUGUACUUUAUUGUUUUCUCUAUUAGGAAACAAUGAGUUGAUAGUCACAGUUCUCAUCAUCGACAUCUUGAUUAUCCAGUUCGUUUUU
Non-coding RNA from Salmo salar (Atlantic salmon), 2280 nucleotides. The record is from RefSeq and is a predicted model, not a curated record. Lineage: Eukaryota; Metazoa; Chordata; Actinopteri; Salmoniformes; Salmonidae.